This 236-nucleotide ribosomal RNA is filed under the name uncultured bacterium. RNAcentral describes it as "partial 16S ribosomal RNA". It matches the Rfam family "Bacterial small subunit ribosomal RNA", at positions 118 to 349 of the family's 1533-position model. The record is from RNAcentral.
UGAGUAACCUGCCCUUAACUCUGGGAUAAGCCUGGGAAACUGGGUCUAAUACCGGAUAUGACUCCUCAUCGCAUGGUGGGGGGUGGAAAGCUUUAUUGUGGUUUUGGAUGGGCUCGCGGCCUAUCAGCUUGUUGGUGAGGUAAUGGCUCACCAAGGCGACGACGGGUAGCCGGCCUGAGAGGGUGACCGGCACACUGGGACGUGAGACGACGGCCCGACGACUCCGUACGGGAGGC